GCCCAGACUCCUACGGGAGGCAGCAGUGGGGGAUAUUGCACAAUGGGGGAAACCCUGAUGUAGCGACGCCGCGUGGGCGAAGAAGUAUUUCGGUAUGUAAAGCCCUAUCAGCAGGGAAGAAGAAAUGACGGUACCUGAGUAAGAAGCACCGGCUAAAUACGUGCCAGCAGCCGCGGUAAUACGUAUGGUGCAAGCGUUAUCCGGAUUUACUAGGUGCAAAGGGAGCGCAGGCGGCACGGCAAGCCUGAUGUGAAAGCCCGCGGCCCAACCGCGGGACUGCAUUGGGAACUACCGGGCUGGAGUGGCGGAGAGGUAGGCGGAACUCCUAGUGUAGCGGUGAAAUGCGUAGAUAUCAGGAGGAACACCGGCGGCGAAGGCGGCCUGCUGGACCGUGACUGACGUUGAGGCUCGAGAGCGUGGGGAGCAAACAGGAUUAGAUACCCCCGUAC
Molecule: ribosomal RNA, 449 nt
Filed under: uncultured bacterium
Lineage: Bacteria
Description: bacterial SSU rRNA
Rfam family: Bacterial small subunit ribosomal RNA
Source: RNAcentral